RNAcentral lists this transfer RNA (84 nucleotides) under Breoghania corrubedonensis. RNAcentral describes it as "alpha proteobacterium UBF-P1 tRNA". It matches the Rfam family "tRNA". Rfam says of the family: Transfer RNA (tRNA) molecules are approximately 80 nucleotides in length. Lineage: Bacteria; Pseudomonadati; Pseudomonadota; Alphaproteobacteria; Hyphomicrobiales; Stappiaceae. The record is from Rfam by way of RNAcentral.
GCCCCCGUGGCGGAAUUGGUAGACGCGACGGAUUCAAAAUCCGUUGUCUUAACGGACGUGCCCGUUCGAGUCGGGCCGGGGGCA